This is a small nuclear RNA of Salvia hispanica, 104 nucleotides long. The record is from RefSeq and is a predicted model, not a curated record. NCBI's taxonomy places the organism in Eukaryota, Viridiplantae, Streptophyta, Magnoliopsida, Lamiales, Lamiaceae.
GUUCCUUCGGGGACAUCCGAUAAAAUUGGAAUGAUACAGAGAAGAUUAGCAUGGCCCCUCCUGCGCAAGGAUGACAUACGUAAAUUGAAUUUUACAUUUUCAUU